This 531-nucleotide ribosomal RNA is filed under the name uncultured bacterium. Its description in RNAcentral is "partial 16S ribosomal RNA". It matches the Rfam family "Bacterial small subunit ribosomal RNA", at positions 355 to 874 of the family's 1533-position model. The record is from RNAcentral.
UGGGGAAUUUUGGACAAUGGGCGAAAGCCUGAUCCAGCAAUGCCGCGUGUGUGAAGAAGGCCUUCGGGUUGUAAAGCACUUUUGUCCGGAAAGAAAUCCUUGGCUCUAAUACAGUCGGGGGAUGACGGUACCGGAAGAAUAAGCACCGGCUAACUACGUGCCAGCAGCCGCGGUAAUACGUAGGGUGCAAGCGUUAAUCGGAAUUACUGGGCGUAAAGCGUGCGCAGGCGGUUUGCUAAGACCGAUGUGAAAUCCCCGGGCUCAACCUGGGAACUGCAUUGGUGACUGGCAGGCUAGAGUAUGGCAGGAGGGGGGUAGAAUUCCACGUGUAGCAGUGAAAUGCGUAGAGAUGUGGAGGAAUACCGAUGGCGAAGGCAGCCCCAUGGGCCAAUACUGACGCUCAUGCACGAAAAGCGUGGGGGAGCAAAACAGGAUUAGAUACCCUGGGUAGUCCACGCCCUAAACGAUGUCAACUAGUUGUUGGGGAUUCAUUUCCUUAGUAACGUAGCUAACGCGUGAAGUUGACCGCCU